UUUUGAUCAAUUUAAUGCAUCCUUGCUGAAUAAAACUAAUAGUUUCUUUAUUAAAAAAAGUCUUGCUGACUCCAGAGCUUUAAAUGGUAAUGCACAUUUAUUUUAAUGACAGAAAAUGCGAUUGCAUGAAAUGAAACACUUAUUUUACACACUGUUUAAAAAAAAAAAAAUCCACUCCUUUUAAUUGUCCAAGCAGAAAUGAUUACCAGCUAAUCUAAUAAUCCUUAAAUUGCCAAAUGGCAGUCAAUUAACCGUCCUUUAAUACAUUCUCUGUGUUUAAUUAUCCUUAAAUGCAUGUCUCAGGCCUUCCUUCUUUACCUUGAAGGCCUGUACUGGAACAACACGCGUCACCUUCCUGGUGCACAGGUACCACUUCAUCAUCGAGCUGGCCCUGAGCCCGUCCACCGGGAUUGUGCUACGAGACCGUCAUCAUCAUCAUCACAUUCAGUGUCUUGUUUUGGUGUCCUUGUUACACAUAAUUGCUAUUCUAAUAGCAAUUAAUUAUGCAUUAUUACAUGCAAGUAACCCUAAGCCAAAUCCUAAUCCUAACCAUAUAGUAAGUGCAUGUAGUGCAUAAUAUUACUAACAAUGCAUAAUUACACUGUAACGAGGACACCUUAAAAUAAAGUGUAGCUCUUGUUUGAAGAGUGCCAAGUCAUAUGCUGUCUGUUUUCAGGAUGGCAGCACAGGAGAGAUGAUCUUUGAUGUAAUCUUCCACGCUCUGUCUCGAUGUUUGAUUGGUUUGGCAAAACCCUUUAAAGUCCCAGGAACUGAUCACAUGUUCAAGCCAAAGAUCUUCAUCACUAUUCUGACUCCAUCAUUGGCCUUAGUUCUUAUCAGGUGCUGGUUCAGGGCUGUCAGCUGGACUGUAUGGAUUUGGAGCAGUUCUUGCAUCAGAUCUAUCAGCAGCUGAGAGUUGUAGAGAGCAGCAUCGCUGACGUCCUACAGCAGCAGCACAAUCAGGCAAGAGCAGCUCGCUUGUGGUUUUAAUACUGACAAUAAAUCAGUAUGCAGAAAGAAGCCA
Cyprinus carpio (common carp) is the source of this 1024-nucleotide long non-coding RNA. The record is from Ensembl. NCBI's taxonomy places the organism in Eukaryota, Metazoa, Chordata, Actinopteri, Cypriniformes, Cyprinidae.